UACGUAGGGUGCGAACGUUAUUCGGAAUCACUGGGCUUAAAGCGCGUGUAGGCGGGACGGCACGUCGGCCGUUGAAAUCCCCCGGCUCAACCGGGGAAGGGGCGCCGAUACGACCGUCCUGGAGGAACGUAGGGGGAGCUGGAACUUCCGGUGGAGCGGUGAAAUGCGUUGAGAUCGGAAGGAACGCCCGUGGCGAAAGCGAGCUCCUGGACGUUUUCUGACGCUGAGACGCGAAAGCCAGGGGAGCGAACGGG
Molecule: ribosomal RNA, 254 nt
Filed under: uncultured bacterium
Lineage: Bacteria
Description: partial 16S ribosomal RNA
Rfam family: Bacterial small subunit ribosomal RNA
Source: RNAcentral